This 82-nucleotide transfer RNA is filed under the name Malassezia sympodialis ATCC 42132. Its description in RNAcentral is "tRNA-Ser (GCT) (tRNA-Ser-GCT-1-1)". It matches the Rfam family "tRNA". Rfam says of the family: Transfer RNA (tRNA) molecules are approximately 80 nucleotides in length. Their secondary structure includes four short double-helical elements and three loops (D, anti-codon, and T loops). Lineage: Eukaryota; Fungi; Basidiomycota; Malasseziomycetes; Malasseziales; Malasseziaceae. The record is from RNAcentral.
GGCAAGAUGGCCGAGUGGUUAAGGCGGUGGCCUGCUAAGCCAUUGGGUUCUGCCCGCGUGAGUUCGAAUCUCAUUCUUGUCG